GUGCUCGCUUCGGCAGCACAUACACUAAAAUUGGAACAAUACAGAGAUUAGCAUGGCCCCUGCACAAAGAUGACACGCAAGUUCGUGAAGCGUUGCAUAUUUUU
Chinchilla lanigera (long-tailed chinchilla) is the source of this 104-nucleotide small nuclear RNA. NCBI's taxonomy places the organism in Eukaryota, Metazoa, Chordata, Mammalia, Rodentia, Chinchillidae. The record is from Ensembl.